Molecule: transfer RNA, 62 nt
Filed under: Aelurostrongylus abstrusus (cat lungworm)
Lineage: Eukaryota; Metazoa; Nematoda; Chromadorea; Rhabditida; Metastrongylidae
Description: tRNA-Lys
Source: RNAcentral
ACUUAAGUUUUAAAGUGUUAGAUUUUUAAUCUAAAAAUGUUUUUCACAUCUUAUUAAUUUUU